Molecule: long non-coding RNA, 274 nt
Organism: Mustela erminea (ermine)
Lineage: Eukaryota; Metazoa; Chordata; Mammalia; Carnivora; Mustelidae
Exons: 3
Source: RefSeq, a predicted model, not a curated record
GGUGGAGGGGGGGGGGGAAUCCUUGGGGCACCAGCUGCGGGGAAGGGAAGCUUCCUGGAGAGCGGAGGGAAGUGUUUGCUUCUCCUCCCAAUGACCCCCAUGCACAAGGAGUUUCUUGCCUUCUGGGAUGCUUCCUUUCUGGAGGAGCUGGGGAGGGUAUCAAAAGAGGGAUGCCUGGAGAGAGACUGGAUGGAGAAACUGAUACUCAGAAAAGCAAAAUGAUUCACUGAAGGUCAGAGAACUAGUAAGUACUAAGGCCGGGACCUGAGCAUUU